RNAcentral lists this ribosomal RNA (263 nucleotides) under uncultured bacterium. RNAcentral's name for it is "partial 16S ribosomal RNA". It matches the Rfam family "Bacterial small subunit ribosomal RNA", at positions 793 to 1055 of the family's 1533-position model. The record is from RNAcentral.
GUCCACGCCGUAAACGAUGUCGACUAGCCGUUGGGAUCCUUGAGAUCUUAGUGGCGCAGCUAACGCAUUAAGUCGACCGCCUGGGGAGUACGGCCGCAAGGUUAAAACUCAAAUGAAUUGACGGGGGCCCGCACAAGCGGUGGAGCAUGUGGUUUAAUUCGAAGCAACGCGAAGAACCUUACCUGGCCUUGACAUGCUGAGAACUUUCUAGAGAUAGAUUGGUGCCUUCGGGAACUCAGACACAGGUGCUGCAUGGCUGUCGU